Molecule: ribosomal RNA, 425 nt
Filed under: uncultured bacterium
Lineage: Bacteria
Description: partial 16S ribosomal RNA
Rfam family: Bacterial small subunit ribosomal RNA
Source: RNAcentral
GUGGGGAAUAUUGGACAAUGGGCGCAAGCCUGAUCCAGCCAUGCCGCGUGAGUGAUGAAGGCCUUAGGGUUGUAAAGCUCUUUCACCGAUGAAGAUAAUGACGGUAGUCGGAGAAGAAGCCCCGGCUAACUUCGUGCCAGCAGCCGCGGUAAUACGACGGGGGCUAGCGGUGUUCGGAUUUACUGGGCGUAAAGCGCACGUAGGCGGAUCGUUAAGUCGGGGGUGAAAUCCUGGAGCUCAACUCCAGAACUGCCUUCGAUACUGGCGAUCUUGAGUCCGGAAGAGGUGAGUGGAACUCCUAGUGUAGAGGUGGAAUUCGUAGAUAUUAGGAAGAACACCAGUGGCGAAGGCGGCUCACUGGUCCGGUACUGACGCUGAGGUGCGAAAGCGUGGGGAGCAAACAGGAUUAGAUACCCUAGUAGUCC